This 295-nucleotide ribosomal RNA is filed under the name Amanita congolensis. Its description in RNAcentral is "partial 28S ribosomal RNA". It matches the Rfam family "Eukaryotic large subunit ribosomal RNA", at positions 1 to 287 of the family's 3401-position model. Lineage: Eukaryota; Fungi; Basidiomycota; Agaricomycetes; Agaricales; Amanitaceae. The record is from RNAcentral.
UUGACCUCAAAUCAGGUAGGACUACCCGCUGAACUUAAGCAUAUCAAUAAGCGGAGGAAAAGAAACUAACAAGGAUUCCCUUAGUAACUGCGAGUGAAGAGGGAAAAGCUCAAAUUUAAAAUCUGGCAGUGUUUCACUGUCCGAGUUGUAACCUAGAGAAGUGUAACCUGUGCUGGACCGUGUACAAGUCUCCUGGAAUGGAGCAUCACAGAGGGUGAGAAUCCCGUCUUUGACAUGGACUGCCAGUGCAUUGUGGUUGUGCUCUCAACGAGUCGAGUUGUUUGGGAAUGCAGCU